This 253-nucleotide ribosomal RNA is filed under the name uncultured bacterium. RNAcentral describes it as "partial 16S ribosomal RNA". It matches the Rfam family "Bacterial small subunit ribosomal RNA", at positions 524 to 776 of the family's 1533-position model. The record is from RNAcentral.
UACAGAGGUCCCAAGCGUCGUUCGGAUUCACUGGGCGUAAAGGGUGCGUAGGUGGCCAGGUAAGUUUGGUGUGAAAGCUCGGAGCUUAACUCCGAAAAGUCAUUGAAUACUAUCUGGCUGGAGGGUCGGAGGGGAGACUGGAAUUCUCGGUGUAGCAGUGAAAUGCGUAGAUAUCGAGAGGAACACCAGUGGCGAAGGCGAGUCUCUGGACGACACCUGACACUGAGGCACGAAAGCUAGGGGAGCAAACAGG